GACGCACCUAAAGGGCCACACAACAUGAUGUCAGCUAUUUGCAACCCUAAUCUAAUAGCUCGUCAUCCCAUCCCGGAUCUCUAGCCGCCCUCAUCCCCUCACGCCCAAGCCGCCGCCAUCCUACCGUUCCCUCCCGGCGCUCGCCUAGUAGCAUCACCCAGUGGGGCCGACGACGGAAGGCUGUGGCGCCGUGCGGGGCUGCGCCAGGCGAUAAGAUGUACAAGAUGGUCAACUCCAUCUACUUCGACGCCGUCGACUCCUGCCGCUCCUUCUUCGACGACGGUGGUGUCGCGGCAAGAGGCGUCUUCGACUAUUAGGGGGGCUUCUCCCCGAGGACGUCCUCGGAGGAGUGGUCCGAGGUCGCGAUCUGUAGCUUCGGUCAGGCCUCCACGGACCACUUAUCCUUCGACGCAGGCUCGACACCCACCACGACGUCCAACUCCAUCCUGACCGCCUCGAAGUCAAAGCCACCCGAUGAGAUACCCAGCAAGCUGCUGCGGUCGGCGUUCUCGGCUUCCGCCCCACCUCCACCUUCAACGACUCGGCAUCCCAAAGCCAUGAAGGCCCGCAUUCUCGUCAGAGGCUUCGGCAUCCGCCUGCGCCUGUUGACGCUCAGUGUGCCCAAGCCGUUGGUGGAUUUCAGCGACAAGCCCUUGAUCAUGCACUAGGUAUUUAUGGCUGUAAGACAGGCCGUUCAACGAGCACCUCAUUAUCCAGGGUCUCAAUUUAAAUGGCUUGAUUUCUAAAGUCCAAUUAGAUUUCCAGUCAGCAAUCACAUAUUAACUACACAAGCAAAGUCCAGAGAUAUAUUAUGUUCUUUUUUGAAACAAGUUAUUUCUUACAAUACCCUUUUCAUUGUAUUUUUGCUUCGUCUGUCAUGUCACGUUGUGGGCCUGGCUAGCUUCAAUCCUGCUUUUCCUUUUUCAGUUUCGCCUUUUCCAGUGGGCAGUGGUAAUACUUGGCAGAGAAAUCCUGAGCCAAGCGCAAACCUUCUGCAAGACCUGGUAACGUAUUUUAGGGGCUAGAAACAGGCGACGACAGUUUACGCCUUGUUUUUUUAAACCAAUCUAGCCCUGGAUUAGCAAUGAUUUUUUAUGCAGCUUUUGUUUGUUACGACUACUCAUGGCACCAUUUAUGCAUACAUCUGAACUAUUUAUGUUGUUGAUAUGUUUCUAGUGUGGCAAUGAUUUUUUUACAUAUAGAUGCUUACCAAAAGUUCAAAAUCUCUCCGGUCAGUAGCAGUAGAAGCAACACACCCAAUUUGUCAUGAGUUGCGUCAGAAGGGUUUGGUGAGGUGUCACUUUUGGUGUACCCCACCGAGCAAAAAUUAGGGGAAUGUUAAUAUAGCUGAUCUAUUUAUGCGAACCAAGACAAGAAUCACAAAAUUUACACUUAAUUUGUGAAGUUUUCAUGAUUAGUGUUUUUAGUACUAUUUUAUGCAUAUAGUCAGACUUAUCUACAUUUCUUAUGUUCUUUUAUGCUGAUUUGAAUUGGUCCUCACAUGAUCAUGCAUCAGUACCAAAUGAUUCAGACUCAUCUGAUGCUUCUGCUUCCUUACAUGAACAUGCAUCAGUAAGUCAGCCAUCUAGCCCUACUUACUGUAACCAACAUGCAUGAUCCACCUCUGUAAUUUUUAUUUCCUAAAUAUGUCUUUUUAUGCUAAUUUGAAUACGCUAUUAUGCCUAAUUACUAGAUCGCGCGUAUGCUCCGCUUUGUAAACACGUAGACCACCAAAUUAUACAUUUUUAUGUUCUUCCUUUUAUGCUUUUAUACUGAUUUGAAUUGGUCCUCUCAUGAUCAUGCAUCAGUACCCAAUGAUUCAGACUCAUCUAAUGCUUCUGCUUCCUUACAUGAAUAUGCAUUAGCAGGUCAGUCAUCUAGCCCUACUUACUAUAACAAGCAUGCAUUAUCCACCGAUGUGAUUCUUAUUUCUGCUAAUUUAAAUGUGUUAUUAUGCUCAAUUAUCAGAUCUCGUGUACACUCCACGUUGUAAACACGUAGACCACCAAUCCUACAUUGUUUUUGUUCUUCCUAUUAUGCUUUUACGAUGAUUUGAAUUGGUCCUUUUCAGAACAAUGCACCCCCAGUACGUAGUCCACUGUAGAGCAGUAUACGACAUAUACGCCCAGUACCCCUAGUCAUUCGUGGGCAUUGGUAAUAUCACCACACGCUCCCGGAGUCCUGCUGUGAUCCCGCCCGCUGGCCCGACUUCGUCCCUGGGUGCAGGAAUGAGAGGGUAGAGCUGAUAAGCAUAAUACAUGUACGGAUUUAUGCUCGGAUGUGGAGACAAGUAGAAAGUGGUUUGUGGAGCAUUGAGUUGUCUUCAUGAGAUUCAGCCUAUUCAGGUCAUGUACUCAUGUGGCACAGCCUAGAGGACUAACUAACCAAGAAUACUAAAGCACAUAAGAUGUUUAAUUUUCUGAUUUUAAUUUUUGAAUUUCUAUCCAAAUAUAGACUCUUUAGUAUGACAACCUUGCAUUGGUUUCUUUGAUAACAUACUAGACAUGGAUGACUGUUGAAUAUGUUAUUAUAGUCUGGAGAAUCUAAUUGUAUGAUCAUUAUGAAACCUAUGAGUGAUCAUCUUACUAAGAACAAGAUAUUUAAGCAUCAUGUUUCCAUCUAUGUCCAUAUUCAGCAUGUUAAUUUUACCUAUAACACGGGAGAUAACACCAUGUACCUUUUACGGAGAUACUAUUGCAAAAUACAGCCACAGCAUGAAGGACCUUUCUCAACAAAUUGUUGUGCAUCAUCUCAGAAAAUCUGAGCCUGCCACCAUCUUAUAUACAAGAGGCGGUUGGAGAAGUUUUCCAGAACAUUACUAUUAGCUACUAUUCUCCGUGUCCACAACCUGAUCUUGCUCUUGGGUUACAAUCUCAUGAUAAACAAUGCUUGUGGUAGUUUCAAUUCUUUAGUGUUUUUAUGAUUAUAUCUAUAUUGUUUAAUUAUGAACAACUUGUAUCUGAAUCUGAAUGUAACAGAUUACUAAAUUUUACGACA
This is a long non-coding RNA of Zea mays, 2997 nucleotides long. RefSeq lists it as uncharacterized. Lineage: Eukaryota; Viridiplantae; Streptophyta; Magnoliopsida; Poales; Poaceae. The record is from RefSeq and is a predicted model, not a curated record. The transcript has 5 exons.